RNAcentral lists this ribosomal RNA (501 nucleotides) under uncultured bacterium. Its description in RNAcentral is "partial 16S ribosomal RNA". It matches the Rfam family "Bacterial small subunit ribosomal RNA", at positions 30 to 523 of the family's 1533-position model. The record is from RNAcentral.
AUUGAACGCUGGCGGCAGGCUUAACACAUGCAAGUCGAGCGGGGAGAUGUAGCUUGCUACAUUUCCUAGCGGCGGACGGGUGAGUAAUGCUUAGGAAUCUGCCUAUUAGUGGGAGACAACAUUCCGAAAGGAAUGCUAAUACCGCAUACGCCCUACGGGGGAAAGCAGGGGAUCUUCGGACCUUGCGCUAAUAGAUGAGCCUAAGUCAGAUUAGCUAGUUGGUGGGGUAAAGGCCUACCAAGGCGACGAUCUGUAGCGGGUCUGAGAGGAUGAUCCGCCACACUGGGACUGAGACACGGCCCAGACUCCUACGGGAGGCAGCAGUGGGGAAUAUUGGACAAUGGGCGCAAGCCUGAUCCAGCCAUGCCGCGUGUGUGAAGAAGGCCUUUUGGUUGUAAAGCACUUUAAGCGAGGAGGAGGCUACUUGGAUUAAUACUCUAGGAUAGUGGACGUUACUCGCAGAAUAAGCACCGGCUAACUCUGUGCCAGCAGCCGCGGUAA